UUGUCCUUUGCGAGGCCUGGGGGCCGGCGGGGCUGCAGCGGCGGGAUGGGCCUGAGACCGGCCGCCAGGGCCGAGUGCGGACCCAGCCUGCCCAGGUGCCCAGGCUCGCGGCCCAAAGCCGCCUCGAAAACCUGCAGUUCGGAAGUAAAGGAAGACAACCACUCUGCGCCUGGAUGUUCAAGCGAGUCCCAGUCAGAAGAAACUGCAGGAUCCCAAGCGCUGGCCCAGCUCCUGCCCAGGCAGCUCCCACAGGACACCUCAGAAGAGAGCAGAAGCGUCCAGCAGGGGGAAAAGCCUGUGGCUGACUUGGAGAGCAUCCCCAGCCAGAAGAGAGUGGAACUGGACCCAGCGGUGAAAGCUGAGAGUGAAGGCAGGCUGGUCAAGCAAGCAGCUGUGAGCAAAGCAAGACCCAGACCUGGAGACCUGAUUGAGAUUUUCCGAAUUGGCUACGAGCACUGGGCCAUCUAUGUGGAGAAUGACUGCGUGGUCCAUCUGGCCCCUCCAAGCGAUGAUGCUGAGGCCGGCAGCAUCAUGUCUGUCUUCAGCAACCAGGCCGUGGUGAAAUACAGUCGGCUGGAGGACGUGCUGCACGGCUGCUCCUGGAAGGUCAACAACAAGCUGGACGGGACCUACCUGCCCCUGCCUGUGGACAAGAUCAUCCGGCGCACGAAGAAGAUGAUCAACAAGGUUGUGCAGUACAACCUGAUCGAAGGGAACUGUGAGCAUUUUGUCAACAACCUCCGAUAUGGCGUGCCCAGGAGCCAGCAGGUGGAGCAUGUCCUGAUGGAAGGAGCGAAGGCUGCAGGUGCGGUGAUCUCAGCCAUGGUGGACAGCAUGCGGCCCAAAGCAGUCACCGCCUGAGGGUGCUGAGAGCCUCAAGCGGAGGGAGAGCUACUGAUAGCGGCCAAGGCAGCAAGCCUUUUUCCCUCCCCUGGCCCUCCUCUCUUGAAAGCCUUGUUCAAGACCAUUGUGAGCUUGCAGAAGAUGCUACUAUGAGGUUUUUGCCACUCAAAGUAUUAAAAUUGCUGAUGGAUGGUGAUAAUAAAAUGGAGACCAACUC
RNA transcript from Ochotona princeps (American pika), 1060 nucleotides. It is a transcript of the gene named phospholipase A and acyltransferase 5, with no coding region annotated. The transcript is spliced from 7 exons. NCBI's taxonomy places the organism in Eukaryota, Metazoa, Chordata, Mammalia, Lagomorpha, Ochotonidae. The record is from RefSeq and is a predicted model, not a curated record.